This 22-nucleotide non-coding RNA is filed under the name Arabidopsis thaliana (thale cress). Lineage: Eukaryota; Viridiplantae; Streptophyta; Magnoliopsida; Brassicales; Brassicaceae. The record is from RNAcentral.
AGGGUGAGAGCCCCGUCGUGCC